RNAcentral lists this ribosomal RNA (524 nucleotides) under uncultured bacterium. RNAcentral describes it as "partial 16S ribosomal RNA". It matches the Rfam family "Bacterial small subunit ribosomal RNA", at positions 28 to 523 of the family's 1533-position model. The record is from RNAcentral.
GACGAACGCUGGCGGCGUGCCUAAUACAUGCAAGUCGAGCGCAGGAAACUGACGGAACUCUUCGGAGGGAAGGCAGUGGAAUGAGCGGCGGACGGGUGAGUAACACGUAAGGAACCUGCCUCAAGGAUUGGGAUAACUCCGAGAAAUCGGAGCUAAUACCGGAUAGUUCAUCGGACCGCAUGGUCCGUUGAUGAAAGGCGCUUCGGCGUCACCUUGAGAUGGCCUUGCGGUGCAUUAGCUAGUUGGUGGGGUAACGGCCCACCAAGGCGACGAUGCAUAGCCGACCUGAGAGGGUGAUCGGCCACACUGGGACUGAGACACGGCCCAGACUCCUACGGGAGGCAGCAGUAGGGAAUCUUCCACAAUGGAUGAAAGUCUGAUGGAGUAACGCCGCGUGAGUGAUGAAGGUUUUCGGAUCGUAAAACUCUGUUGUAAGGGAAGAACACGUACGAGAGGGAAUGCUCGUACCUUGACGGUACCUUACGAGAAAGCCACGGCUAACUACGUGCCAGCCGCCGCUGUAA